Molecule: unclassified non-coding RNA, 81 nt
Filed under: Salegentibacter agarivorans
Lineage: Bacteria; Pseudomonadati; Bacteroidota; Flavobacteriia; Flavobacteriales; Flavobacteriaceae
Source: RNAcentral
AACCGCCGUAUACGAGACCCGUACGUGCGGUGGUGUGAGAGGCGCAGUGGCGGCCAUAAGGUCGUCACCCGUCUACUCGAU